Molecule: ribosomal RNA, 579 nt
Filed under: uncultured bacterium
Lineage: Bacteria
Description: partial 16S ribosomal RNA
Rfam family: Bacterial small subunit ribosomal RNA
Source: RNAcentral
UGAGGAAUAUUGGUCAAUGGGCGAGAGCCUGAACCAGCCAAAUCGCGUGAAGGAAGACUGCCUUAUGGGUUGUAAACUUCUUUUAUACAGGAAUAAAAAAGGGGACGUGUCCCUUAUUGCAUGUACUGUAUGAAUAAGCAUCGGCUAACUCCGUGCCAGCAGCCGCGGUAAUACGGAGGAUGCGAGCGUUAUCCGGAUUUAUUGGGUUUAAAGGGUGCGCAGGCGGGCUUUUAAGUCAGCGGUGAAAUCUCGGGGCUUAACUCCGAAACUGCCGUUGAAACUGGGAGUCUUGAGUAUGGAUGAAGUAGGCGGAAUUCGUUGUGUAGCGGUGACAUGCUUAGAUAUAACGAGGAACUCCGAUUGCGUAGGCAGCUUACUAAGCCGUAACUGACGCUCAAGCACGAAAGCGUGGGGAUCAAACAGGAUUAGAUACCCUGGUAGUCCACGCCGUAAACGAUGAUUACUAGUUGUAUGCGAUAUACCGUAUGUGACUAAGCGAAAGCGAUAAGUAAUCCACCUGGGGAGUACGCCGGCAACGGUGAAACUCAAAUGAAUUGACGGGGUCAUAGCUGUUUCCUG